AAGAACAAGCCACCCACUCCUAUUGAGGCCUUGCCCAGUGAAUUUUCAUCAUCUGUUCAACAGGCCAAACCUGCUAAACCCCGUCGACACAUUCCUCAGGUUGGUGUACUUUCAUGGUCUAGUAUUUCAAGAACAAGCCACCCACUCCUGUUGAGGCCUUUCCCAGUGAAUUCUCAUCAUCUGUUCAACAGGCCAAACCUGCUAAACCCCGUCGACACAUUCCUCAGGUUGGUGUACUUUCAUGGUCUAGUAAUGUUUGUGCUAUCACAUUUCAUGAAUCAUCAUGCCAAUUGUGUUUUACAAGAUUUUAGAAUUAUAUGUGACGGAGGAUCCAUUGGUUUAUUUUGCA
Molecule: long non-coding RNA, 349 nt
Filed under: Nicotiana benthamiana
Lineage: Eukaryota; Viridiplantae; Streptophyta; Magnoliopsida; Solanales; Solanaceae
Description: long non-coding RNA (NBEN_LNC038475)
Source: RNAcentral